GUUAGGAAUAUUGGACAAUGGGCGCAAGCCUGAUCCAGCCAUGCCGCGUGAGUGAUGAAGGCCUUCGGGUUGUAAAGCUCUUUAGCCGAUGAUUAUAAUGACUGUAGUCGGAAAAUAAGCCCCGGCUAACUUCGUGCCAGCAGCCGCGGUAAUACGAAGGGGGCGAGCGUUAUUCGGAAUCACUGGGCGUAAAGCGUGCGUAGGCGGCUUUGCAAGUUGGGAGGGAAAGCCCAGGGCUCAACCCUGUAAUUGCUCUCAAAACUGCAAGGCUCGAAUUCGGGAGAGGAUAGCGGAAUUGUCAGUGUAGCAGUGAAAUGCGUAGAUAUUGACAGGAACACCAGUGGCGUAAGCGGCUAUCUGGACCGAUAUUGACGCUGAGGCACGAAAGCGUGGGGAUCAAACAGGAUUAGAAACCCGGGUAGUCC
RNAcentral lists this ribosomal RNA (425 nucleotides) under uncultured bacterium. RNAcentral describes it as "bacterial SSU rRNA". It matches the Rfam family "Bacterial small subunit ribosomal RNA", at positions 354 to 796 of the family's 1533-position model. The record is from RNAcentral.